Molecule: long non-coding RNA, 1036 nt
Filed under: Anas platyrhynchos platyrhynchos (common mallard)
Lineage: Eukaryota; Metazoa; Chordata; Aves; Anseriformes; Anatidae
Description: lncRNA (ENSAPLG00000022248.1)
Source: RNAcentral
CAAGUUGGAAAGGACAAGGAUCAUCAAGUCCAGCUCCUGGCUCUACACAGGACUACCUAAAAAUCAGACCACAUCUGAGAGCAUUGUCCAAAUGCUUCUUGAACUUCUACAGGCUCAGUGCUGUGACCACUGCCCUGGGGAGUUUGACCACCUCUGGGUGCAGAACCUUUCCCUGAGCCCCAGCCUGACCCUCCCCUGUCCCAGCUCCAUGCCGUUCCUUCAGGUCCAAACACUGGUCACCAGAGAGAAGAGAGCAGCACCUCUCCCUCUGCUUCCCUCCAUGAGAAAGUUAUAGACUGUGACAAUACGGCAGAAGUUUGUAGUCCAGCUUAUAGUGUAACACCUUUGUCUUUCAGGACUUUGCAGAUGUCUCUGAGCUCCAGGAGAUGAAAUGUGUUUUGUGUCCAGAGUGGUUGUGAAGUCAGUAACCUCCUGAGGAAGCUCCCCGAUAUUGGAACCAAGCAAAGUAGCAGGCUGCCUUCAGAGAUGAUGCGAGCAGGCUCUUUUUCUUUGGAGCAAUGACCAGGAAGGAUCGGAGUUGGUUUCUUGAGCAGCUGUGCUCUCAGAUGAACAGGCUGCGGGAAACGUUUGACAGGCAGAGGAUGUAACAUCAGAUGUCAAACAGAGUUUGGUGGAAGCAGCAUGUCCUCAGGUGUGAGAGUAAUUGUGGACAGCUACAUGUGGAGUGCAGUGGGCUUUGAGCUGAUCACCCCUUGUCUGCUAAAGAGACAAAUUGUCCUUUUGUGGGACAAACUAAAGAGGAAAGGGAGUGUAAAGUUUGCAGAAGAGAACCUUUGUCAAGACCUUUCUUUUUUGUUUGUUUCCUUGCUUUUUUGGGGAAAAGAUGUUUCAAAUGUUCUGCCUGAAAAAUUGAAACCACCUCUGCAGCUUACAGUAACUUUUCACAGAGGCUCUUGCUUGGCAUUCGCUGUACUGAGCUGUUCAUAUGCUAGACAUCUCUAAUAGUGUUUUAGUCUCCAGUGGUGUUUUUCUUGGAAAUUCUUCCUUUGAAUAAUAAAACAAAGAGCAGUUGCCA